This 187-nucleotide ribosomal RNA is filed under the name Flavobacterium sp. enrichment culture clone a21. Its description in RNAcentral is "partial 16S ribosomal RNA". It matches the Rfam family "Bacterial small subunit ribosomal RNA", at positions 338 to 523 of the family's 1533-position model. Lineage: Bacteria; Pseudomonadati; Bacteroidota; Flavobacteriia; Flavobacteriales; Flavobacteriaceae. The record is from RNAcentral.
CCUACGGGAGGCAGCAGUGAGGAAUAUUGGUCAAUGGACGCAAGUCUGAACCAGCCAUGCCGCGUGCAGGAUGACGGUCCUAUGGAUUGUAAACUGCUUUUGUACGAGAAGAAACACUCCUUCGUGAAGGAGCUUGACGGUAUCGUAAGAAUAAGGAUCGGCUAACUCCGUGCCAGCACCGCGGUAA